CAGCUGCUGCGCGAGCCCCUUCAGCGGCAGGCUGGCGGCCAGCGCCGGCCAUUCGCCGGUAAACACGGGCGGCGUGCCAUCGUCGGCGGGCGC
RNAcentral lists this transfer RNA (93 nucleotides) under Cupriavidus respiraculi. RNAcentral's name for it is "tRNA-Ala". Lineage: Bacteria; Pseudomonadati; Pseudomonadota; Betaproteobacteria; Burkholderiales; Burkholderiaceae. The record is from RNAcentral.